This 27-nucleotide non-coding RNA is filed under the name Homo sapiens (human). The record is from RNAcentral. Lineage: Eukaryota; Metazoa; Chordata; Mammalia; Primates; Hominidae.
UGCUGGGCUUCCUGGUCAUCUUGUGGA